UAAAAGGGAAGGCAGAGGUACAGGGGAAGGAAGCUUGCCUUUUGCUGCAGUGUGAGACAGUGCCUGGAUGUCUUGUGUCAUUGCACAUCUGGUGCAGAAAUAACCUGAACAUCAGAAGAAUUUGUUAAGACUUGUAACAGCCCAUGCAAAGAACUCAAGGUUUUGAACAAAUUCAAAAAGAGGACUUUGAGCAGAGCUGGAAAUGAGUGCAGGAGUUCUGGGUCAAGGUACCUCUGACUGAUUAAUUAUCCACUGAUGUGAUUCAAUCUCCAGAAAGAUCAGACAUACCCACCAUAAACCAACCAAGCUCAAAGCAAAGGUUUCUUUCCUGGGUGCUGGAGGGAGCAUUUCCCUGGAGAUGGCUACAAGAAGGAAUGUCUGUAGAGUCAUAUCUGGUUCUUGAAUAGGUGCCAUAAUCUGCCCAGGCUGCCUGAGGUCAAGCUUGUUCUGGGAUCUCUGGGUCUCUUGACAGAGCCUGCUGGAUGUUGGGACCUUGGAGCAGCACUCCUUGGGCUGUGGGUGAACACAGAUGGCUCUGGGCUGCUGGAGGAGGAAGCAGAGGAUGCUCUGGUGUUUGUAUGGAGAGAGAACAUGGCAAUCCCCCUCAUGAGACCAGCUCCAACACUGCAAAUGAUUCUGGUUUUGCUUUUUCCUUACAAAAGCACCAUAAUCCCAGCAAAUAAAAUGGCACAUCACAGGUGAUCCCAAUGAAGUCAGCCAAGCUUCUUAUGAAGCCCACAGCUAAAUAAGGAGCUGAGAUGUGAGGCCAGAAGAAGCAAGUCCAUGUGAUUUGAAUUGCAAUUCAGUUUGCUUUAGGAUUUUCUAGUUGAAAGACAAAAGUUGGCCCUCCCAGCCUGGUGCAGUGUAAGUGAGAUCUGUUAAAUGCCACUGGAGACUGUACUUUCAACCACCUAGAAAAUAAAUUGGAUAAGCACUUCAGUUGACACUAAAACCUUCAGUUUAAAACACUCUCACAUUAGUGAGAUUUUAUACAGUUUAAUAAAUUCUACACUGCUAUCAGAUCAGGAUUCUGUUAUCUGUAUGCUCAGUGUGAUGUGCGCUCUCCUGUGUUAAAAAUCCCCUCUUGUACUGGAAAAAAUCAAGGCCCAUUUCAGUCCAAGUUAGCUGCUCAUGAGAGUUUUUUGACGUUUUUCAAUUCUUUUAGUGACAUCUAGUGAAACUUGGGGAAAGUGCAAGUUCAGCUGAACUCCAAGGAGCAAUCCAACUGCAGUAGUAGAUGCUUCACAAUUAAAUGCCCAAAGUACUGUACCUUAUUUCAUUUACUGUCCUUAAGCUGCUGUUUAAGAAAUGCGCAAAAUGAAUUUUGGCCAUUAAAAUUUUUAAAG
Molecule: long non-coding RNA, 1346 nt
Organism: Passer montanus (Eurasian tree sparrow)
Lineage: Eukaryota; Metazoa; Chordata; Aves; Passeriformes; Passeridae
Exons: 4
Source: RefSeq, a predicted model, not a curated record